AUUCGUCCAAAAUCUAAAUAAAUUAUCCAUUAUUCUUGGAAGGAAUUUAACAUGAUUCGUCAAAAUCAGUCAAUUUGUUUUUAUUGUCAUACAUCAAAUGUACAUUUUAUCAUCAUGUACCAAAAAUUACUGUUAACAUUGUUGGGCAAGUUUGUUAACGUUAUUCGUUAUUCGUCUUGAAGAUUACCUCAUUAAGAUCCAUAUACAUUAUAAUAUUUUUUAAAUCAACAUGUUGAAUUGAUAAAUCAAUUAAAUUAAAUUUAUGGUUGUGAUUCAGGGAUGAUACUUGGCAGUGUUUCUGAGAUCAAUAUCUAAGCAGGAAAUCAAACCUACUGUGGAUUCAUUUGUUUUUGUGUUUAUCAAUUUUCGUAGAAUGAGGAAAACUUGCAUUUUUGAAGAUAUUUGAUAUCAAUGUCUUGCCAAUCUCUGCAUACAAAGCCUAUAGAAAAUUUGUAAUUCAUAGAACAUUUGAAUUCAUGGUUCGUUAACCUGUACCCACAAAACCCACAAAAAUUGGUAUCCAAUGAAUAAAAAGGAAUCUACAGAAUGCAUCAAUAGCAAGGCAUGACUUUUUUGUACAUUUAGGAAUAACAAACAAGAAUAUCUGUGAGCAAUUGACAUUGUGCUUGGCAAACAAGACUUAUCCUACUAGAUCUUAGAUUGUUUUUUAGAAAAAUUCUAAUAAGUUAAUAAUAACACAUGAAAAAAAAACUUAUAAUGAAUUCAAAUAAAAUCUUGUAUAUUCAUAUUAAUUUUAAAUAUAUUCACAACAUAUUCAAAUAUAAAUUUAC
RNAcentral lists this long non-coding RNA (791 nucleotides) under Mytilus galloprovincialis (Mediterranean mussel). Lineage: Eukaryota; Metazoa; Mollusca; Bivalvia; Mytilida; Mytilidae. The record is from RNAcentral.